Molecule: ribosomal RNA, 253 nt
Filed under: uncultured bacterium
Lineage: Bacteria
Description: partial 16S ribosomal RNA
Rfam family: Bacterial small subunit ribosomal RNA
Source: RNAcentral
UACAGAGGUGGCAAGCGUUGUUCGGAUUUACUGGGCGUAAAGGGUGCGUAGGUGGCUUUGUAUGUCGGGCGUGAAAUCCCACUGCUCAACGGUGGAACGCCGCCCGAAACUGCAGGGCUAGAGUGCAGGAGAGGAGAGCGGAAUUCUUGGUGUAGCGGUGGAAUGCGUUGAUAUCAAGAAGAACACCAGUGGCGUAGGCGGCUCUCUGGAAUGCAACUGACACUGAGGCACGAAAGCGUGGGGAGCAAACAGG